This 142-nucleotide ribosomal RNA is filed under the name Salmonella enterica. RNAcentral describes it as "partial 23S ribosomal RNA". It matches the Rfam family "Bacterial large subunit ribosomal RNA", at positions 2789 to 2925 of the family's 2925-position model. The record is from RNAcentral. Lineage: Bacteria; Pseudomonadati; Pseudomonadota; Gammaproteobacteria; Enterobacterales; Enterobacteriaceae.
GAAACUUGCCCCGAGAUGAGUUCUCCCUGAGACUUAGAGUCUCCUGAAGGAACGUUGAAGACGACGACGUUGAUAGGCCGGGUGUGUAAGCGCAGCGAUGCGUUGAGCUAACCGGUACUAAUGAACCGUGAGGCUUAACCUU